Molecule: small nuclear RNA, 94 nt
Filed under: Homo sapiens (human)
Lineage: Eukaryota; Metazoa; Chordata; Mammalia; Primates; Hominidae
Source: RNAcentral
UGAUUGGUUUUGCAGCAGAUAUACUAAAAUUGGAAUGAUACAGAGAAGACCAGCAUAGCUCCUGCACACACAGGGUGAUACACAAAUUUGUGAA